This 307-nucleotide unclassified non-coding RNA is filed under the name plant metagenome. Its description in RNAcentral is "partial contains 5.8S ribosomal RNA, internal transcribed spacer 2, and large subunit ribosomal RNA". The stretch from base 1 to 105 matches the Rfam family "5.8S ribosomal RNA", at positions 50 to 154 of the family's 154-position model. The record is from RNAcentral.
GAAAUGCGAUAAGUAAUGUGCAUUGCAGAAUUCAGUGAAUCAUCGAAUCUUUGAACGCACAUUGCGCCCGCCAGCACUCUGGCGGGCAUGCCUGUUCGAGCGUCAUUUCAACCCUCAGAACCCCUUGCGGGAUCUGGCGUUGGGGAUUGGCAUCCAGCCAGCCCCGAAAUCUAGUGGCGGUCCCUCCGCGACCUCCCCUGUGCAGUAGCGAUACCUCGCAGCGGGACAGCGGUCUGACCACGCCGUAAAACCCCCAACUUCUCAAGGUUGACCUCGAAUCAGGUAGGAAUACCCGCUGAACUUAAGC